ACGGCUCCCAGUCCCUCUCUUUCCCUAACUCCCUCUUCUAUCUCCCUUCUUCCUCCAUUCUUUCCCCUCACAAGAAAAAGCUCCCACCGUCAUCACCAAGCCCAGCCAUGAGUUCCACCACCAACAGCAACCAUUUCUCCUCCUCCCUUUAUUGUUGGAGACGAUAUCAUCGAAGAACCCUUCUAGUUGAUAGCUGGAUUCGUUACCUUGAAGCGACAUCGUCGUUUGAUCACAGAUCGGAACCGGUCGGGAACGAUGGGUUAGCAGUGUUGAAUAGCGUUCUAAGGAUGUAUAUUGAGCUGAGCACGUAGGAAUUUGUAGAUUUGUAUUAGGAUUUUGGAUAAAUGUAUAUUUGUUUUGGCUGUGCUGGUUAUAUCGGACUUGUAGAGAAUUGUAUGAUUAUCUUGUGUAUUAGUUAGAUGUUGGUUUUGGGAUUUAGCUGAGUUAGUCACGUUGAAGAGCUUGUGACCCCUUUGCUUGAGUUUUGGAAGUGUGAUUUCAAUUUCUUGGAAAACGAACCUAGUGUUGACCCUGUUUACCCAGUCAACGGUAAGUCGGGUUGUUACAGUUGGUAUCAGAGCCAGCCCGCGACCGUGGCUAAUCCUUAGGGUUAGUUUAUCUAGCGGGCAUACAAUCUUGGAAGUAAGGAAAAAACGUGACUUGAGGAUUUAGAUGUUUAAGAUAAGAGAUAGGAACAGAAGUGAAUAUGAUUGUGGUAUUAACCUAGGUGUUUGAGUUAGUCUUGUUUUCUUAGAAAUGUAGGAUGUGAGGUGUGACGAUUACGGGGUAAAACGGGAAGACGCUCUUAACGAUUGAUCGUGAUGGCAAGAAGAUUCAGUUCGUUGAUGCAACGUUUGAAUUUAUUUUCUGAUGAUGCCAAUGUCUUGUUGCUUAUCAUAGUUCUUUGUCAAUUAUUGUUUUAGUAGCUAGAAUAGUAUGUCCUAAGAUUGCGAAUCGUUUCAUCUUGUUGCUAGCCCUUUUCUAUCAGCUUUUGUUUGUCGAUCCAUGAGUAUGAUUAUAGUUUAGUGCACGAAAGCAAGGUUAUAUAGUUGUGUAAACUCGAUAGUCUUCGGUUGUAAGUGAGUUGAACAUUGAGAAUGUCUGUGACGUUGUAGGAGAGUUAGUGAAGACAAAGUACUUGAAGCCAUCGUGAUAGAAAAGUCUAUGAUAAGAGCAUAUGAUAAUUUUCAAAGCCUAGUGAUUGAGUUGAAUACGGUGCUCAUAUGUUGGUGUAAAUGAUGAAUUUUUUUAUGUUGUUAGACCAUGUCAUAUAUUAUAGUUUGUUUGGAUAUUAGAGCUUAUAGCUUUAUUAGAGUUAUUGGAAAAUUGUGUGAUUAUCAUUUAGAAUGAACAAAGUUUCUUUUGCUGGUUGGAAGAGUAAAUAUGACAUAAGGAUGGGAUGUCAUUCGUUAACUUGAGGUUUUGUUAAGUAUAAUUGAUUAUAUUAGUUGCAACCGCAUAUGUAUGGAUCUCAACGUAAGUUACUUUAGUGUUUAUGUUCAAAACCCUGGGUUAAGAAAAAAGAAGUAUGUUGGAAUCUCAUAUAAUGGAUAAAAGUAGAACUAGUCCCAAGGCUUGGCGUUUUAUUGUUCAUCAUUGAGGAAUAUGUUUACUACUUUAGGUAAGUUAGGAUUAGAAGUGUCUUAUGAAACUUUGGAUGCAAUGAAGUUUGGAAUUUGACAACUAUUAUUUGUUUGCGGCAAAUCAUAUUGAGAAACUAAAUUGGAACUAAGUCAGCAUGAAAGCGAGACCUUUGCUGAAGGAAAAAUUUGCAUAUGUCUUAGAGAAUUAAUGGACUUAAGAGGUAUUUGUAGUGCUUUGAGAUGCUAUAUUGUGAGGUAGAUAGGUAGGAGGGUUUUUCGUCUAAAAAUCUAAGGUAUAUUCGUUAUCUUGGGAUUGUCUUACUAAAUGUUUGUGUUGGAGUCAAAAAUAUGAAAUAGGAAUUUUGAAUGUAGUUAUAUAUCGAAGUGCAGGUAAAUAACAAAUUUAUGACUUGAGGAGUAAGAUGGUUAUCAUUCGAUAAGGACAAAUAGGUUUUGGGUUGCAUGAUGUUCUUAUUAAAAGUUGUGUACAUUAGUUGACUAUGGUGGCAUAGCAAUUUUAUGUAUAGUGAGUAGUAGCUUAUCGACUUGCAUAACCAGCGUUUUUUUUAAGCGAUUGCAUGUCAUGUGCCACGCAUCUCAGCUGAGACAACACUUUAGAGACAAUUCACACGUUCUGCAGCCGAACAGUUGACCUUGGAUGACACCUUACAGUACGAGGAGACCCCCCGUUCAGAUCCUAGAUAGGAAGGCGCAUGAUACACGUUGAGGUAGUAUAGUGCUUGUGAAGGUACUAUGGUCUGAUCACGUUACCGAAGAAGUCACGUGGGAGGCAGUAGAUGCCAUGAGACGCGAUUAUCCCUGGUUGUUUGCUUAGGCAUUUCUAUGUUAAACGCUUUUUAGCUAUUGCAUCUCCUUAGUCUUUGUGAGUUAAGUUCGAGGACGAAUUUCAUUCUAAGUUGGGGGACAUAGCUUUACGAUAUGUAUGUUAGCUAGAGAUUGGAAUAUAUACUGGAGACUUAGUUUAACUUCGAGGACGAAGUUUAUUUCCAGUUGGGUAGAAUGUAAUAUUCGGGAAAAUUAAUAUUUUAAGACGAGUAAGUUUAAGAGAAUUAUCAGUGCGAGAAUGAUCCUAAAUACACAUGAUAAAAAAAUAAAAAAAAGUUGUUUUUAAAAGAUCUCAAAAUUUCAACUUGAAAUACAUAUACUCGAGUCAAGUAUUCUUGAAAUUGUUUUCCAAAAGAUAUUAUAUAUACUCGGAUAACUGGCAAAAGGAGUUGAGGACCAAACUUAUCGAGAAUUGCAAUGAUGUUGUGCAAGAAUAAUUCGAUGCAAAGAGUUUAAAAGAAACAUUUUGGGAAUAUUGAAAGUUAUGCGUUAAUUGUGUGUUAAGAUUGAAAAUCUAUAAAGGAAUAAAGAAUGUAGAAAAAGUAUUUGUGACAUGUUCAAUUAUGGGAUGAGAAAUUUUAAUUAAAAGAAGUUUCGAAAGGAAACAAAGGUUAAUACAAUUAAUAGUAACUUAAAGUUAUGUUGUAGUAAGUUUGAUUGAAUGGCCUAUACGUGUUGAGGAUAAUGUAAAAAUAUAAUUGAGAAAGCUUUCAACGGUUUUUAAUGAAUGAAUGAUAACUUUGGGACUCUAUAAAGGUUUUAUUGAUGGUAAAAUGUGAAUUAAGAAAAAAGGGAUCAAUUGGAAGUUUAAAGAAUACUUAAAUUGUGAGAGGUUUGACUUUGUAAGUGAGGAAAUGUUUGGUUAUUAAAGGGUAAAAAAAAAAAUUGGGAUUGUAUGAAACUAUUAAUGGUAAAACAUGAGUAUAAUAGAAUAAUGGUUUAGAAAAAAAAAAUACGAAUUUGAAUGUCUAAAGGUUAUUGAAGUUAUUUCGGAUGAAUUGGUUAUGGAAUUUGAAGUUUUAAGCGUUAAAUGAAGAUUAGGGUUAUAAAUGUUAUAAUUCGAAGUAAGUUGACAAUGAUCGAGUUUGAGUUAUUAAAAUUUGAUAGAUUAAUGAUUGUGGAUAUCUUUAAUGAAUAUGAGAUUCAAUAAAUGACUUAAGGUAUUCAUCUCAAAGUAUCUCGGGAGUUAUAAGAGUUUUAAUGAAAAAUUUAAUUGUAAUUGGGAAACAACAAGUAAGUUGAUGAUUUAAUAUCUCAAACUAAGGAUAUAAAAAAAAGGUUGAAGUGACCAAAUAUGUAAUUAAAGGUAUAAAAGAUUUUGAAGUAAGGUGGUUGAUUUAAAGUACAUGUAAACAUUCACGUAAAGUAAAUCGAGGUUGAAGUUUCAAAUUUAAAGGUUUGAAGUAAUUUAAUUGAGGUUAGUUGUGUUACCAAUAUGUAAUUCAUCUUAUAUGAUUGAAAAUUUAUAGAUAUAGUAUGUCUUGAAUCAAAGUUGGGGAGUAACUAAAUUUUAUUUGGUUCUCAUUUCACGAAAUUUGAGUUACAUGUUAUGACUAAGGAUGAUCAGAAGUGUAUGUAUAAUUUCGGGGACGAAAUGAUCUUAAGUUGGCGAGAAUGAAAUAGACUACAUUUAAUAAAGCUUGAUUAUAAGUUUAUUAAGCUGAUUGGGGUUAUUAAGUAAGUUAAUUCGAGUAAUAAUAUUAUUAUUUUUAUAAUAUUGACUCAAGUAUUUGAUUUGUUAACAAUUUCAAGAAAGAGGUAUAUUUUAUUUAAUGUAUAAAAUUCGUAUAAAGAGUACUUCGAUAAAAGUGUAUUUUGAUUAUAUUUUAUUAAUU
Long non-coding RNA from Amaranthus tricolor (Joseph's coat), 4264 nucleotides. RefSeq lists it as uncharacterized. The record is from RefSeq and is a predicted model, not a curated record. Lineage: Eukaryota; Viridiplantae; Streptophyta; Magnoliopsida; Caryophyllales; Amaranthaceae. The transcript is spliced from 3 exons.